Lycium barbarum (goji berry) is the source of this 1319-nucleotide long non-coding RNA. RefSeq lists it as uncharacterized. Lineage: Eukaryota; Viridiplantae; Streptophyta; Magnoliopsida; Solanales; Solanaceae. The record is from RefSeq and is a predicted model, not a curated record. The transcript has 3 exons.
CAAGCGAACCCUAAAUCCUUUCCACAACUCAUCCACAUAUUCCAGCUCACCUUGGGCCAAAUUGGCAUUGGUUCAAUGUGAUUUCACUUUCGCAGUGGUUGCCUCGCCAUUUCGGGCAAUGCAUUGAUGGAAGCUUGUCUGUUUCUAUUCUUCCAGCCAUGUUCAAACGGUAAAAUCCCUUUCUCUUGGGUUUUUCCCUUUUAUUUUUUGAUUUUUCUUCAUCUUCUAAGACAAGAUUCAAAUUUGAAAAUCCAGAUUUCAAAUAACCAGCUUCAAAUCCGAAUCCCAUGGUCCCACUUUGUUGAAUUUUGUUGAAACCCUAAGAUUUGAAAUCCCCUAUUCUCAUUCUCAAAAAAAGGGUUCACACCCCCAAAAUCUCUGAAUUUUGGAUUACACAACUUCUAAGUUGAAAUCUUGAGUUUUCGGAAUAGUUCAAAUUUUAAUCUUUUGUUUUCUUUGUGCUUGAGUUUUGUUGGUGAAAGGAAAGCAUUCUCGCUCUCAUCGCCUCAGUCGCUACACUACUAACAGAUUUUGGAUGAAACGGGAAGUGAACUUGGAAAGGCGUAAAAAGCAUAAAAGGUACACCCAGAUGAGUUAAAGUUAUUACAGAAGAUGUUCCAGCAGAGUUGGCAGGCUCCAUUUGCUCCCGGAGUGUUGCCGAGUCAGAGUUUGUAUAUGUAUGUUAUGAAUUUUGGAUUUAUGUUAGAGACUUUGCAGACAGAGUCGUGGGUAUUGGUUAUCAGUCUGUAAGCGGCUCCAUCAGCCGAUAUGUCAUUCUGUGUUAUGUAGUAAAUUUUAUAUAAUUACGGACUUUGCCUAAAAUUGAGAACGAUAAAAGAUGGAUUUCGAAAGCUUAAUAUGUAUUUUACUUUUAUCUGAUUUUCAGCAUCUGAAGAAAUUAUGUGUGUAAUAAGAAUCUGUGGGUUCGCUCGGCUCCGGAUAUGGGGUCGGGUGCCCAUCACACCCUAGUGGAAUUGGGGUGUGAUAGUAGAAAUUCCAAAAGAGAUGGAUUUUUGAAUCAAGAAUUAAGCUCCAAGAAUUUUUUCUUUCUUUUCUUUCUUUUCUUUCUCUCUAGCCGAAAUGCUUUCUUUUUUUUUCUCUUGGUUUUUUGUUCUUGUUCUCUCUUGAAGCUUCUAUGUGGCUAAGUAUGAAUAUAUAGCCCUCUUAAUUAAUUAGCCACAUGAUCAUUUUCCUUGGGUUGGGCCAAGGCAUGUUGGCCGGCCACCCUUACAAAUUGGGCCUUAAUUUUCUUAUUUUUUUUUUAGCCCAAUUGGCUACAAAUUGUUUUUGUAAUUUCCGAAACCAAUUUCCAAAAUUCC